Long non-coding RNA from Neoarius graeffei (lesser salmon catfish), 539 nucleotides. RefSeq lists it as uncharacterized. The transcript has 4 exons. NCBI's taxonomy places the organism in Eukaryota, Metazoa, Chordata, Actinopteri, Siluriformes, Ariidae. The record is from RefSeq and is a predicted model, not a curated record.
GUUAUUUCCAUUCCUGACCGAGUGUCAUAAUUACAUCCGGAUCCUUCAUAAAAUGCCAGACGGCAGGAUGUAUGUGUGUGGUACCAAUGCUUUCAAUCCAACCUGUGAUUUAAUGUCUUAUACAGACGGCAACCUGACUCUGGAAAAUAAACAACAUGAUGGGAAGGGGAAAGUGUCCAUUUGAUCCUUUCCAGAGAUACGCCUCUGAACUUGUUGGGGGAUGGGGAGGACUGUGGCUACUGCAUAAGAAGUGGACUUCAUUUCUAAAGGCUCUUCUGGACUGUCCUGUCCCUCAAAGCAAAUUGCCUUUAAUUAUACAGGAUGUUUUCCUCUUCUGCCCAGGCCCCUGGAGAACCUGUAUGUUCUAUGGAGUCUUCACUCCUCAGACGAGCACAUCACAGUACUCUACAGUGUGUGCCUAUGGGAUACAAGACAUCAGGGAAGUGUUCUCUGAAGGCGAAUUCAAAAUGCUGUACGAUAACUAUCCUGUUAGAAAAUGGGUGACGUACAAUGGAGAAGUGCCUGACCCCCGUCCUGGA